RNAcentral lists this long non-coding RNA (354 nucleotides) under Equus asinus (donkey). RNAcentral's name for it is "lncRNA (ENSEASG00005027139.1)". Lineage: Eukaryota; Metazoa; Chordata; Mammalia; Perissodactyla; Equidae. The record is from RNAcentral.
GGCCAAGAACAUGACAGGUGCUAGGACUGGAAUCUUUGCAUCCACAAUUGAACAUACCCCAGUGCCUUCAUUCUUUAAAAGUACUUAGAAUCAUUUAUUUCAAUCAUGAAGACACCUGGAAACUACGGGAAACUCAUCUCACUUUGUUGUAGUACUGAUUGCUAUCAAAGGUUUGCAGUUUUUUACCUGAGUGUCCUGUUUAUUUGUGAAGAAGCUAAAUGACAGCCUGGUUCAUUUUUGAAUUUUGUACGAGGAGUAGAGUUCACAUGUAGUGCUAACUUAGAAUUCAAGAGAUAUUUUCUUCUUGGAUGUUUGUCUUAUUUUGACAAUAUUAAAGUUUUGUUAUGAACAGUG